This 33358-nucleotide long non-coding RNA is filed under the name Ananas comosus (pineapple). Its description in RNAcentral is "long non-coding RNA (ACOM_LNC011744)". The record is from RNAcentral. Lineage: Eukaryota; Viridiplantae; Streptophyta; Magnoliopsida; Poales; Bromeliaceae.
AUUAAAAAAAAAAAAAAGUUCAGGGGCGAUUUCAGAAUGCUGAUGCCUACAGUUGAAAAGUCUCCUGUGAAUUUGACUUUGACAAUAAUUAUUUCUUUAAUAUUUAUUUUUCAUCCAUGGUCCAACUGCUCUUAUCCUUGGGUCCAGUCGGCCCUUCCUCCCCGAGCACUUCCGCCGGCAGCUCCGCCACCAGCUUCUCCAGCGCCCUCCGCAGCCUCUUCGGAAGCAGCCUCUCGACGCCCUUCAGCUCCUUCGCGAUGUCGUAGCUCGUCUUCGGCCCCCACUCCCUCAUGUACUCCAACCACGCCGGCUCCGCCACCGCCUCCCCUACUUCGUCGUACUCCGCCGCCACCAACUCCCACCUCCCCGCUGUAUCCAUCUUCUUCCCCUUCGCCGUAUCAUUCCUUAUACCUAUUGAAUUAUAUAAAUAUUAUUAUAGCACAUUAAUUCUCUGACAGUUUAAAUUUUUAGCAGUACAGUUGUUUCGUAUUAUUUAACAGUAUAUAUAUACCUAUUUGCAGCUUCUCAUUGCCCUGGAGUACCAAGCCGGCCUUCGCGUACGCUGCAUGGCCAUGCAGCGACGCGUAGGCCACGGGCUUAUUCCCCCCCGACGGAUCGUACUCCGCCUGUGACGCGUCGACCCACUCGCCGGCGCUGUGCGCGGCGUAGUACACCCGCCGCAGCUCCCCGCUGAAAUUGCUCACCCGCAGCGUCACGUGCUCCCAGUCCCCCACAUGCUCCCCGAUCCUCCCCAGCGAGACGUUCACAAAUUCCACUUUCGCCCUCGCGGCGCCGUUGAACGGGUAGAAUAUCCACAGGGCUAAAUCGGUAAAUGUGCCCCCGAGCAUCGGCUUGACGUGGAGGUACACUCUUGCGGUGUUCAAAUCGCCUGCUUUUACUUCUGCUUUCAGCUUGUCAUCUGCCGGAAGGUCUAUCCAGUAUUCCCCGUCGUUCGACCCUCCCUGCGGGAGGUUCGACCCGUCGGGGGCGAUCGCGGUCGGAUUCGGAUUCCCUUUUUGGUACAGCAACGCCCCGUUGCUGAAGAACCAAGUUACCGAAGAAGGGAAAAAUUGCUCGUCGGGGUGCAAAUAUAUCACGGGAGAGUACGCUUGCAUCAGAGCUUCUAUUUGCGCUAAAUUCGGCAUUGCGGAGGUGAACUCGGCGCUGAGAUUCUUCAAACAAGCGAGAGUCGUCGUCGGCGAAGGAGAGCCGUUCGAUUGGGCCGUGAACGUGCCCGCGCACACGCCGCGCGCCCGGACGCCACGAUCGGACGGCCGGAGUGAGCUCACGCUGAAGCUGCCGUCGUUGGUGGACCAGAGCGACGUGUCGGGCUCUGAUUGGUCGGUGAAGUCGGCGCGGACGCAGCGGAUUAGGUCGAGCGGGGGCUUCUGGGCGGAGUCGGUGACGAGGAGUCCUACGGCUUUGUAGCCGCUGGGAGGAGUCGGCAGCCAGAAGAAGCCGUCGCCGACUCGUUUGACGGAGGUGGAUUCGGCGCUCCACACGAGGGUGUAGUCGAGGGGUUUCGCGAGGAUGCCGAGUUCUUGGGCGUCGCGCGCGACGAGGACCCAACCGUUGAGGGGGCGGUCGUUGGGUUGGGUGUAGGACCCCAGUGAAUAGAAAUCGGCGGGGACUUCUGUCGGAUUGAAGAAUCCGGCGCCGACAUCGCCUGGGCCGCCGUCUAAUGUGGCCCAGACCUUGGUGAAUGUGGGCACUUGGCGCACUUCUAGACCCCCCAGAUCUAUGCUCCCCGUAGCAAAUCCCCCUCCUAAUAAUAAUAAUAAUAAUAAUAAUAAAUUAUUAAAAUCGAUAAUUAAUAAAUUAAACAUUUUUAUUUGCAAAAAUUAUAAUGGUUAUUUAGAUACAGGGGAAAAGAAUAUAACUAUUUGUAAAUUAAAAAAGGUAAAAAUAUAUGGAGAACUCUCAAGUACCGCAGUAUUUUAAAAACCAGGUCAAAUAACAACCCAAAAAUAUUACUGGAUCAAGGAUCACUGAUUCAGCAAUUAAUCACUCAUUGAACCAGUGACGUCAACAUGAUAUCAUAAAUAUUUAAUUAUUAUUUUUAUUUUUAAUUUUAUUAUAUGAAAUAACAUAUAUUAUUAUUUUAGUAUUAUAUUUUCUUAUAAAAAUUAGGACUCUAGUAAACAGAAAAAAGUAAAAAAAUAAAACUUGACGUGUCUCUGUUUAAACCUAAAGAAAAGUUGAGGGGGAAAUUUUAGGAUGCCUUUAGUUGAGAGGAUACACAUACUUCUUUUUUUUUAAGGGCAAUUAUUUAUAUAUUUUUGAAAAGUUUUCGACUUUAUAAUUUAUCUUUUUUUAGAAGGUUUAUUAAAAAUACCUUUUUAACAUAUCUAACUUAUUUCAAAUAUACUCCUAAAGUUAAAUUCUGUUAGUUAGCAACAACUGUUAUUUCUAUAAAAAUACUAUUUUGUCUUUUUCAAUAUAUUUUUUUAUCAUCACUAACUUUUUUAUUUGCCCUUAAGAUAGGGACAAAAGAAAUAUUUUAAUUUUUUUUCUUUUCAAAUAUAUUUUUCUAUCAUCACUAUUUUUUUAUUUGCCCUUAAGUUAAAAAACAAAGAUAUUUUAAUUUUUUAACUUUAAUAGAAAUUUAAUUCGGAUUUAACCUGAGAUAAUAACUUAACCAGUACUUACAGCACGAGCAUUUUUUAAAAACGGAGAACAAUAUGAGGAGUAUAUUUAAAAUAAAAAAAUAAGGAUAAAUUAGAUAUUUUAAAAGUUUUCAUGAUUAUAUUAGAUAUUAUUUUUUUAUAUUAUUAAUAUAUAUAUAUAUAUAUAUAUAUAAAAUAAAUUUCCAAUACCCGAAAAAAAAAUAAAAGUUUAAAUACUUUGUACAAUUUUUAAAAACAGGGUUUUUUCGAACUUAAGAAUAUAAAAUGUACAGUGUAUAGAUGUUUCGUUUCUGAAAAACAAAAAUAACAAUAUCAAGUGAAAUUAAAGAUAAAUGCCCAAAAUUUAUUAAAAAGUGUGAAUACCAUAGUAUUCGUAUAAAACUAAUUUUUUCCCAAAAAAAAAAAGAAAACUUAUUUCUAAUGAGAUUUGAAGAUUUCAUAAAUGACAAGAUAAUAUUACUAAAAUCAUAAGGAAAAAUUCGCAUUAAAAGAAAAGAAAAGAAAUGCAAGAGUGAAUUAAUCCAAAAUUAAUGAAGUUGUAGUUGUACCAAUUAAUUAAGUACGAACCUGAGGGCCAUGUUGGUAGAGGGGAAGGGAAAUUGAAGGGUGCGUCGAUGGGAAGCGUUUUUUGUCCCUUGGAGCUGGUAGUGUUUAAGCAAUUCCCCAUGGCUGAGGAAGAAGCUGUGGCUUCAGAAGCGCUUUUGGGAGGAGUAGCAGAUGUUGCUGUUGUUGAGGAUUGAGAGGAGGCAGCUGGUGACAUACUGGGAUUUAAAAGCAGUGGGGUACUUAUCUCUCUCUUGGGCUUAUUUAUGUUGGCCUUUUGUUUUGUGGUCCAAAUUUAUAAGGCUUUUAUUUUUAUUUUUUUUUAUUUUUUUUCCAAUGGAAAUCACGAGGCUAAUUAAUUGAGCUUUGUAAGUGACAUUGGUUCCUCCUAAUAUGUUUGUUUAUAGGGAAAACUUCAAAAAUCCCCCAUGUGGUUUCGUAGUUUUUCACUUUGCUCUCCUGUGGUUUAAAAUGUAUCAAUUUGCCCCCCCUGUGGUUUUGUUUUUUUCUUUUUCUUAUCAAUUUUAUUAUUUUUUUUUCCUUAAAUCAGUAAUAAAGUUAAAAUUAAAAGGUACUAAAGUGAAUAUUUGAUAAAUCUAGAUGGGUAUAUGAAGUUUUUUGUAUAUAAUUUAACGAAAUAUUAACGAAAAAGCUACCGAAAAGAUAAAAACAAAACGACAGGGGGGCAAAUUGAUACACUUUAAACCACAGGGGGUCAAAGUGAGAAACUACGAAACCACAUGGGAGGUUUUUGAAGUUUUCCCUUAUUUAUAUAUAGAAUAAAUGAGAGAGAGAGAGAGAGAGAGAGAGAGGAGAAGGGUGGUUGAAGUUGAAGCGUGCAAGAAAGACUCCAUUCUUGGUGUUUAUGGAUUUCUUACCGUAGUUGCUCUUCCACCGCAGAAAGUAUUGGGAACUUGGAAAAGAUAAAAGGCCCUCCUAGCUCCACAUGCAUUUAUCAUUGAGUGUGCGUGAGCGCAAGUGGCAUAAGAUUUGAUGCUUAGUACAUAAAAUUUUAAGUUUGAAGUAUAGUUAUUAUUUUAUAUAUUUAGAUUAGCUUAUUUUAGAAAAUUGAAUGAAGCAAUAGAAUGCUCUUUUUUGCCUUUCUCUCGAGAAAAGUAAUUCCUGAGCACUUUAGCUUUUUCGCAAAUAAAUGUCUGAGCUUUUAAUUUUGGUAAAUAUAUGCUUUAAACUUUAUCAAAUAGUUCAAUAGGUCUCUUUACUCAAGUAAACUUACUUACUAACUGUACUACUAUUUUGAUCAGAGACGCCGUUCAUAUGAUUCUAUAAGAUUUCAAAAUAUAUAUAAACAAAAUAUCUAUUUUUUGUCUUCAGUUUUGAUAAUAAGGUUUGCAAUUGAAGAAAUGCAUGGCUAAACCAAACUUCAAUUUUUAUUGCUUUUUUCUAUAUGUUAGAAAAUAAAAAAUAAAUUUUGUUGUGUUUUGAAGCUUUAUAAAAUUAGAAAUAGUGUAAUCAACAACUUCAAUUGAAUAAAACGGUCUAUUAAAUUAUUUGAUAGGUUUAAUUAAGGGGUUUAAUUGCCAAAAUUAUAAGUUCAAACGACUUGUUUACAAAAGAAUUAAAGUUAAGAGAAUUUUUGUAUAUUUUUUCGUAAUAAUAUUUAUCACCGCCGACUAUGUCUAGUGAAGUUGGUUAAAAAUUUGAUGGUUAGUAUCCGAGAUCUUAAGGUUGAUACUCAGCUACUUAGCAUUUUUAGCUGAAUUUAUUUAUAAACAAAAAUAAACAAAGCAAACAGCUUGCUACAUUUCUCUCAAAAAAAUUAAAAAUAUCAUCACCGACCGUACCUAACGUUGUUGGUUAAUGGCUUAAUGGUUGGUACCCGAGAUUUUAAAUUUGAAGCCUAAUUGCUUCACAUUUUUAUUUAAGUUUAUUUUUAAAAAUAAAUAAAGCAGGAAGUAUCUCUUUCAAAACAAAAUGAUGAUAAUAAUAUUCAUCACUAAUAACAAAAGCGACUUGAAACAAUCCCCUUACACCUAUAAGGAGGGUGUCAAUCUUAUAUUUUGUCUAUCCAAAAGCUGAUGCUCUUUUCACUGGUCUUAUCAAUUAUUUUACAAUAAUAAAAAUUUAAAAAAAAAUUAAAUCUUCAGAUUAAUGAGAGUAAGAUUUAUAAUCUACUUAUAAUAUGUACAUAUAGCUAGCAUUUAAAAAAAAAUAAAAAGGAGUUCAUCCUAGCCCUUGGUUCAAUUCAUAUGUACAAUAGUCAAAAAUAGCCGCCAAUUUUAAAUUUUUAAAGAGUCUAAUUUAGGCAGAUUCAUCCAUUGCAAUGCUGUAGCAGUUUAAUUUUAGCUCCUGGAAUAACCGACCGUCCUUAGAGUAAGUGGCAAAGGGUUUGGUGGUUGAUACUCGAGACCAAAGUUCGAAUCCUAAUUGAUUCACAUUUCCAGCUAAGUUUAUUUCUAAAUGAAAUAAACGAAGCGAGUAGCAUGCUACCUUUCUCUCAAACAAAAAAAAAAAAUAAAAAAAAAAUAAUGGAGACUUCUCAAUUAUGUAUAAACUUUUCAACUAUUUUUUUUUUAUUGGUACCAUUUAUUAUAAGUUAAAUCAUAAUACUGUGAGUCAAAAAAGUAUUAAAACCAGUCGAAUAUGAAAAGACUAUAAUGUAAUUUGAUUAAAUAGAAAUAUUACUGAGUGGUCUGUUUUAAAAUGGCCUCUAGUUAAGGGGUUCCUCUGCAUUUUAACCUAGGGGAUGUGGUUAUCUAAAUAAGUUUCCUAGUAUUGAAAGAUUAAGAAAAAUUUCAUUCAUGAUAAUAAGAUUACUUAGAAUUAUACAACUCCUGUAUUUGGUUCGCUCAGUUAUCUGAGUGAAGAUUAUUAUAUUACAAAAUUAUUUUAUUUGAUUUAACAGUAAAAUUUCAGUAAUAUAUAUAUAGUUUUCCAUAAUUGCUCUUAUACUUAAAAUUUUUAUUUAUUGAUAUUUUAUCAUUUUAAUUUAAAAUUUAAAAUUUAAAAUUUAUUUUCAAAUUUGAAUUCAAAAUCUGACUAUGAAUUUAAAAAUUAAAAUUUAAAAUUUAAAAUUUAAAAUAGAAAUUUAAGAUUUGAAUUUGAAUUUGAAAUUUAAAAUUUGGAUGUGAAUUUGAAAUUUGAAUUCAAAUUUUGAAUUUAAAUUUGAAAUCAAAUUCGUAAUCUAAAUUCAAAUUUAAAAUUUGAAUUUAAAUGUGAAAAUUAAUUUUUAUUUAAAUUUGAAUCAAAUUCAUUAUCUGACUUUAAAUUUAAAAUUUAAAUUCAAAAUCUGAAUUUAAAUUUAAAUUUUGAUUUAAAAUCUAAAUUUGAAUUCAAAUUUAAAAUUGAAAAUAAAAAUAUGAAAUUAAAGUUGAAAUCAAAUUCAAAAUCUAAAUUCAAAUUUGAAAUUGAGUUUGAAAAUAUAAAUUUGAAUUCAGAAUUGAAUUUGUAAUUUGAUUUUGGAAUUUGAAAUUCUGAUAACAAAAUAUAAAUUUGAAUUUAAAAUUUGCAUCUAAAAUUUAAAUUUAAAUUUAAAAUUUGAAUCCAAAGUCAAAUUUUAAAAUUUGAAUUUUAAACUGAAAAUAUAAAUUUGAAUUUAAAUUAAAUUAAAAAAUGUGAGUUUAAAUUUGGAAUUUGAAUUUAACAAUUAAAUUUAAAUCUAAAUUUAUGAUUCAAACCAAGCCGAGUGUCACGGACUAAACGAAUUUGCUCGCAAAAGUCCGUGCGGCGCCCACUUCCUGCUCGAAGAUGGGCAAGCCUUCUUCUCUACUUCGCCAAGUCAGGACCUACUCGUCCUAGACUUCCUCUCUACUUGAUGAGUCAGGACCUCCUCGCCCUAAGACUAAGAACAAGAGAGAGAUGAAAAAAGUUCUUCUAUUACUUUAAAGUAGUGAGUACAAAUGAGGAUUCUAUCUAAUGAGAGAGGUGGAGGCCACAACCUUAUAUAGGCCACUCGCCGCCCAUAAAGCAAAUGACAAGAUGCCAAAUGGCAUGAAACUACAAGCCAAAAGGAGAGGCCAAUAAAUAGGCUACGGUCUCCCAAGAGUCCUAAUAAAUAAGCAUAGAAACUCUAAGAGUGUUUAUUAUUCUAGAAACUCUAAGUACAUUAAUGGGCUACCUAAAAACCCCAAGGGACUCAUGACUCCUCAGCAUCCACGCCAAUCAGCCUCGAGAUCCAUGUAGAAGCUUCUAGAAUGCCCCAGCAAAACCUCCGUCAGAAUGCUCCUUCGGAGAAUGGCCCACUGUCGAGGAAAAGUCAGCGAAAAAUAUUUUGUCCGUGACAUUCUCCCCCACCAAACGCGCAGACGCCCUCGUCGCGCGUCGAGUCGCUCUCGAUCCGCAUAGCCUUCCGCACGGUCUGUCGUGCCUUCUCGCACGAUCGGCCCCGUGCCUUGCUCCUGUAGUUCGCAUCUGCCCCCGUACCCGCUCCUAGCGCCUUGCCCCUCUGAGCAUGUGCACCAGCAAGUCUGCUGUGCGAAGAAUCCGCCAAAGGUGCAUGUCCUCCACGACACGCACGCGCACUCCGCCAAGCCACAGAACGCCCUUUGGACUCCUCGGACUCCUGCUUGACAGAAUAACUUGUACCUUGAUUGGUUGCUGGCCGCUUCAGAACCACCUGAGACUCGACAGUCUCGCCGCUACUCAGUCCCUCCUCCUCGAGGCCCUUAGCCUUCCUGCACUUUGCCUCCUCGUAAAGUUGCAGGGCUGUCAGAGUUUGGUCCUUCAUCGGCUCGCCCCGACACAUCGGAACCAUGCAUGGUGCUGACUCGUCCAUGAAGCUCAGUACCCACAAGUGUGGCAUAGGCGUCACCUUCGACGAAACAAGAAAAUCCAUCCUGAGGAUGACUCCAAAGUCGUCGAGCGGCCCGACAGUGAGAUUGGCCUUACCCCUCCACGGGCCGAUGGCUAUAUCCACGUCCUUGGCAACUCCCGUGAUUGGCCGUGGCUCAGGGUUGACCGCCUUGAUGCGGCUCGCAUCCUUCUCGAGUGUGAGGCCCAACCGCUUGGCCUCCGCCUCCGUGACAAAAUUGUGCGUCGCGCCGGUGUCGAUCAUCGCCCGCGUGGUCCUCCCGUUGAGGAUCACAUCGACGAACAUGAGCUCUCUCCUGCGAAGCUUGUCGCCGCUUGGCUGACCGCGAACUGCGUUGACGAGGCUUAGCGCUCCCAUCCUCGGCAGCUCAACCACGUCAUCGUCCUCGCCCUCAGCAGCUUGGACCACAGCAACCUGCUUUCCUUUGUGGUUGCCUCUCUUCGGGCAGUCCCGCGCCCAAUGGUUCUUGCCGCAAACAUAGCAAGAGAUAUUUGCAGGCGGCGGGGCGGGAUCCUGCCGUUGCCUCCUCGCAUCAUGAUUUGGUUUGUGCCCCUUAGCGCCCCCUGGAUCGCGGUGCCCUCCCCCACCUUUGGCCUCGCUCGCCUUCAGUGGUUCACCUUGAUCACCUUCGGUUUGCUCUCGGUCGGGCAGCUUCUCCGCCAAAGCGAUCGCGGAGUUCAAGUCCUUGACGUCUCGCGCCACGAGCUCUUUAUUAGCCUAUGGCCGAAGACCGUCCAAGAAAAAGAACAACCGAUCCUCGUCGGCCAUAGUGGAGAUCGCCAACAUGAGUUUCGAGUACUCCUGGACAUACUCCUUGAGUGUGCCCCGAUGUUUGAGCCGUCGAAGUUGCCUCCGCGCAAGAUUUUCGACGUGCUCAGGGUAGAACUGCGCCUUGAGCUCGCGCACAAAGUCUUCCCAAGUCUUCAGUUCGCAUUGGCCCUUCUCGGCCUCUGCAGAACGCCGUCGCCACCACAGCAUCGCGUCGUCGGCGAGGUACAUGGAAGCAGUCUGGACCUUGUUCUCCUCGUCCUCGAUCCGCAGCGCCUUGAGAUAGUGCUCCAUGUGCCAAAGGAAGUUGUCUAUCUCCUUCUCGCCGCGCGAACCCUUGAAGCAUUGGGGUUCAGGGACGCGGACCUUCGGGGUGCGCUCCUUCUGUAUCUCGACCCCUCGAGCCACCGCCUUCUCAAGAAUGGUCACCCGCAUCUUGAGGUCGUCGACCUCGUCGACCCUGGUGACAAGAUCCUCCACUAGCACCUUUCGCUCGUCCUCGCGACGGGCGAGUUCCCUGCGGAACUCCUCGAGCUGAUGGCGAAACGUCGCCAUGGCAGUCGCAACGCUGUACUCCAUGGCAUGCAGCCCGUCCUCCAUCAUCCCCACAUGUUGGGAUAGAUCAGAGUAGAGCUCCUCCACUCUCGCAGCAGAGUCCUCCAGUACACCCACGCGGUCAUUAAGCUAGACGGACUCUCUCGCUAGAGUUCGCUCCUUACUUUUGCCGCGCUUGGAGGGCUGCUUUGGAGGGUUAGCAGUUACGUCGACGACAGCAGCAUCUGAAGACGACAUGGCUCCUUCUCGAACCUAGCUCUGAUACCAACUGUCAUGGACUAAACAAAUUUGCUCGCAAAAGUCCGUGCGGCGCCCACUUCCUGCUCGAAGAUGGGUAAGCCUUCCUCUCUACUUCGCCAAGUCAGGACCUACUCACCCUAGACUUCCUCUCUACUUGAUGAGUCAGGACCUCCUCGCCCUAAGACUAAGAACAAGAGAGAGAUGAAGAAAGUUCUUCUAUUACUUUGAAGUAGUGAAUACAAAUGAGGAUUCUUCCUAAUGAGAGAGGUGGAGGCCACAACCUUAUAUAGGCCACUUGCCGCCCAUAAAGCGAAUGACAAGAUGCCAAAUGACAUGAAACUACAAGCCAAAAGGGGAGGCCAAUAAAUAGGCUACGGUCUCCCAAGAGUCCUAAUAAAUAAGCAUAGAAACUCUAAGAGUCAUACAUUUAUUAUCCUAGAAACUCUAAGUACAUUAAUGGGCUACCUAGAAACCCCAAGGGACUCAUGACUCCUCGGCAUCCACGCCAAUCAACCUCAAGAUCCAUGUAGAAGCUUCUAGAAUGCCCCAGCAAAACCUCCGUCAGAAUGCUCAUUCGGAGAAUGGCCCACUGUCGAGGAAAAGUCAGCGGAAAAUAUUUUGUCCGUGACACGAGGGUAAUUUGGAAUUUCUGAAAAUAUUUUUAGAUUAUGCUCACUCGGUAACAGAAGAUAUCUGCCCCCUCCACAUUAAUAUAGGAUUCUCUUUUUUUCAAAAAAAAAAUAUUUCCUUCCAAUUAAAAAAUUAUCAAUCAAAUUAACUACUAUGUUAUAUUACCCAAACGUAAUAAUCUGUAAUGAAUUCUCAGUAAUUUAUUACAAAUAGUGCAAACCAAAUACUCCCUAAUGUUUCGUGAUUCUGUUUUUAACUUUCCUUGUAGAUUUAAGUUUAUGUGCAGGGUAGGGAUGGUGACCCAAUGUGUGGACCAUAAGAUGUAUGUGUUAAUAGCAUAAUCCGGGGGAAUAUCUUUUUGUGGGAAAGGCCUACAAGUUUAAGUUUCCUUUAUUAGUAUCAUUAAGUGUAGUAUCAUUAAUGCUAGAAGAAGAAAUAAACUAAGACAAGUUAUAGUUUAGUACUAAUACACUGUAUUUGUGCAUAUUUGUUAUUUGGAUAUGUUAUAGCACUGAUAGGUGAAAAAAAAAAGAGCCCAUCACAUUAUAUACAUGUCAAGAUUCUAAUUUAUAUCUAGUAUGAAGCUUAUAUAUAGAGUGAGGCUACUAUGCUAUCGGAAGCACAGAGCCUUCCGUGCUUCCAGCUCGUUUUCGAUAUUGCGACUUUCGAAUCGUCGAUCGGCUCCGUUAAACUUAAUCUAGAGUAUUUGAAGUACCUAGAAAAUAAAUUUUAUGAUUUUACGAUAUCAUUUGCCUAGUGAACGAAGGGGCUCAAAAUCAACGGCUGAAAAUAAAAAUCUUACAAAAUGUAAUAAUAUGACAUUAAAAUUUUGGAUCAAAGAUAUUGAUCUUGUUUUAUAUAGUAUAAAGAAUUUUCUAUCAAAAUUUCACGUGAUUUGGAUAUUUCUACACCGUUAAACUUGCAAACGGCUCACUACGGCCAUUGAAAUUUGUUGAUUUUGAGCCCAUUCGAUCACUAGGCAAAUGAUAUUGAAAAAUAAUAAAAUUUAUUUUCUAAGUACUCCAAAUACUCUAGAUCAAGUUUAACGGAGCCGAUCGACGAUUCGAAAGUCGCAACAUCGAAAACGAGCUGAAAGGACGAAAGGCUCCGUGCUUCCGAUAGCAUAGUAGCCUCACUCCUUAUAUAUAUAUAUAUAUAUAUUUCUAACAUGCCCCUUCAAUACAUACUAGGCCUACUAGUACGUGGUACGAAUUUAUUGUUGUUAUACAAGAAUUGAAAAAAAUGAUUUAAAAGUCUAGAUGAUUAACUGAAAUGAACUUUCUAGAAUAACAUUUCUUUCCCUUCUCCUAUUUGCUCCUCAAUUCUGUUCUAAAAGUUCCGUCGAAAUUACAUAGAAAAUGUAAUUUUGUUUUCUAACCUUUUUUUUAUUUUUUAUUUUUUUGUUCCUUCUCCCGUUUGAAACUUGCUAUCUAUCAUUCCACAUGUCACAUGUUUUAAUUAAGUAUUCCUUUUUCUUCUUCUUUUCUUUUUUUUUUCGUUUGAGGGGGGUCAAAAGCUAAAUUUAGAAGGAUCAUAAAUAGCUGAUGGCUAUGGAGUAUUACAAGGUAAUGUUCAAUUUUCGGACCCUUUUAAGGUUCAGAUUAAUCUUUGUAUUUUAAUCGACUCUCACCUACUAGCUAGCAGAAUUACAUUUGAAUCUCACUCAAACCACAGAUGCAUAUAAUAGCCCCUGUGAUAGCUACUAUAAAUCUCGAGAUAAAUUAAUAACAGUGGUUAUGCACAUAACUGUUUCGACUAAAAAAAUAUAUACCCUGUAACAAAAACAAUCGCUGCCGAUGUUACCGAUGCGAACCAAAAAAAAAAAAAAAANNNNNNNNNNNNAGAGGAGAGAGAGAGAGAGAGAGAGAGAGAGAGAGAGAGAGAGAGAGAGAGAGAUCAACGCAAAUAGUCAGUAAAACUGCUGUUAUAAUAAAUGUGAUGAUAUAACAAUGGUCCUUUAUGAAAAUAUAGCAACUAUUUUUGGAUAACGCAGUGAAUUCUAUAGAUCGUAAGUACUUAUUAUUAUUUCAAAAACACGUACGAAUAGGAAAAGCUCACUCAUCGUAUUUAAGGGCCCAGUAAUCAUGCUCACGAGUAAUGUGAGUUUCGACCUGACUCAACUCACAUAAAAGUUAGGUAUAUUGCUGAGUCUCUUACCGUUAGGUUUUUAGUAAAUAAUAAAUAGUCAACAAUACUCUCCCGCACUGCACUAUUAAUGCAAUAUGUGAAAAUCGAACUCAUAACUCUGACACCACUUGUGGAUUGUAAGUGCUGACCAAUUAUCUCAAAAGUAUGUGCUAAUAGAAAGAGCACAACUAUCGUACUUAAUGGCUCAGUCAUAAUGCUUACGAGUUACAACCGGACUAAAUUCUUUUGAAUAUUAGGCUUAUAAUUGGGCCUUUUACCAUUAGUCUAUUAUGUGCCACAGGCCUACUUAAUUUAUUGGACUUACACAACUCAACUUAUUGAUCUUUUGAGCCUAUUAUCACGGGGCAGAAAUUUGGACCUAUUUUAGCCAAUAAUAAAUAGCUAAUAAAUUCGACUGCUAUUAUAAACCUAUAUUCCUAUCAUGAAACAAUGCGUUUGCAUUAAGAAGUCAUUUGGUUAGAUGUAAUUAUAAAUGUAGUGUACUUAGAAAUGCAUGCAGUUGUAAAUACAGCAGUUACAAUUAUAUUAAUCCUAUUUUGUUGGAUGUAGUAGAAAACGCUGCAAGUAUAAAUAAUUUGUUUAGUUGCAUGCAGUUGAGAAAUAAUUUUUAAAAUUUUAUUAUUUUAUAUAUAUGAUGGUGAGAUUACCUCCAAUGUAGAAAAGAAAAAUAUUUUUUGUUUAAAAAAUAUUAAGAAGGUAAGCAUAUCUUUUAUUUAAAGUUACUCUCUUCAGCUACUGUAGUUGGAACUGCAGUCAAUUUGAGCAUAGUUCGAACUGCUGCAGUCGGGCAUCCUCCUGCGGUUCCUACUGCAGCAGUUGGAGUUAAAUAUAUCAAACCAAAUACUGAAUUUGUAUUUACAUACAGUUACAACUGCAGUGUAGUUACAACGACAUACAACCAAACGGCCCCUAAGUAAAUAUGCUAUGUCUGUUGGAUCGAAGUUGUAGAUAAUUUUAAAUAAAGUAUUAGAAUUCGAACCCCAUAAUUUUGGUCAUAUUAGUAUUGGAUUAGGACUUUAAUUAGGAAGGUCCGUUUAUAUUCUUAAACAAAGACCCAAUAAUUUUGGUCAUGUUAUAUAGCAUGGGAUUAGGACUUAAUUAAUAACAUCCAUUUAUAUCCUUAAACAAAACAAAAUAUAAUGUUCUCCUACAAAUUCUUUUUGGCCUACUUUACAUAUAAACAUGAGUAACACUACUCAUACACCCCAAUCAGAAUAUAUAAAUUAUGGUUCACCAAUUCAAUAGAUUGAAGUUACUCGCUAAUCAUAUCAAAUGACUAUUGAAAACACUUCAUUCAUUAGAUUAAUAAAGUGUAAGAUAUAUGCCUCAAUUGGAAUCUACAAGUAGUUUUUUCCUACAUAUAUUGAGCACAUUGCAAAUACUACCACCCAGGUCAUAUUUUUCUCAGAUGUAGUAAAUACAUUUACUAAAUGAUUGUAUCUUAAAGUCAAAUUUGUACUUUAUACCUAACUUGCCUAUAUGUCAAAUAGAACAUUCGUGCACUAGUAUCAUGUGAAGCACAUUCCCCUCUCAAACAAAAAAAAAAAAAAAACAAAGAAAGAGAGAGGGAAGGUGAAGCUUCCUUUUGUCUCUUAGUUAAAAAUGAACUUCUUAUCCAAAUAUUCAUUUCAUAAAAAAUAUUUUUAAAAUUUUAUUGGUGGUUGCAAAUAAAAUUAGUAAGGGAACCGACCGUUCCUAACGCAAGUAAGAAAAUGUUUGGUGGUUGAUUUCAAAUUCGAAUUCUAAUUGGUUCACAUUUUCAACUAAGUUUAUUUUUAAAUAAAAUAAACAAAGCGGAUGGCAUGCUACCUAUCUCUUAAAAAAAUAAUAAUAAUAAAAUUAGUAAUGGAGGAGGCAUCUGGCAGAAAUUAAAGGCAAUUUAUAUAUUCCAAUCUCAAACCUAGCAGAGCUACAAGAUCUCAUAGAUCUCGAUAUUGAGUUCCCAAUUCAUUUAUAAAAAAGUUGGGCUGGAAUGCUAUCGCCUAUCGGUGACAAGCGGGUUUCAUUGUCAUCCAUUUAUUUUCGACGACGAUUGGCAUGAUUGAACAUGAUCUAUACCACAUGAAGCAUCUAGAAACCAAAUUUCAAAUGUUUUCGAUAUCAUUGACCUAAAAGAGUUUCAAAAUUUAUAAUUUUAAUAGUCAAUACGAGGCUUUUUUUUCAUUUAACGGUAUAAAGAUAUUCACAUCAAUUGAAUUUUGAUUAGAAAAUUUUUUAAGCUAUUUAAAAUAAGAUCUAUACUCUCAAUCUUGAUUACAAGAUUUCUAUCAUCACUUCUUAAAAGAUAUUCAUUAUCAGUCGUUCAUUUUUGUGUCCACUUGAUGGACAAAAGAACAAUAUCGAAAAAGUAUGAAAUUUAAUUUCUAAAUGUUUCAAGUGGUAUAAAUCAUGUUCAACGAUACUGAUCGUCUAUUUGGAGGCUCCAUCAUCGAAAAUAAAUAAAUGGUAACGGAACCCGUUUACUACUGAUAACAUUCCUGCUCAACUGUAUUUAACAGAUUUAUUAUGUAAAUAUAUUGAAGCUCAACUAUGUCAGCUGGUAAAAUAGAAUUUAGUAUGUGAACUAUUUUUAAAAAUGAAAUAGGCCCCCGCAAGUUAGGAGUUUUCCUAGCACCUACUUUUUCAAUCUUUUAUAAAAUUAUGAUAUAUUCCCUAAUGAGAGAGGGGAGGCAUGUGUUGUGCAUGUUCAAAGAGAAGAGAAAUGAAUUUAUUUUGUGACCACAUGCUUCAUUGAUAUCACCAACCUAAUACGUGAAGGAAAAAAAGUCCGAUAAUUUAGAGAAAGAAUAAACCACAUUUUUUUGUCCUUAGAUUAUAAAGCGGAUGAUAUUUGGUUCUUAAAUUUUAAUUUAUUGCAACGUUCUCUAGUUCAAUUAUUUUAGAUUAGUAUAACUAAGUUUUUAAAUUUAAUUUAGUUGGCUAAAUUAAUGCUGAUGUGAAGCUGAUGUAGUGGCAGUGUGAUAUAGUAGUCAUUGUCACGUAUCAAUCAUUACUAUAAUAUCAGCGAAGCGUCAUUUUUAACUAGACUCAAUUACAAUAAUCUAAAAAAUUUGAGCUAAAAAUUGCAAUGGACUAAAAUUUAAGGACCAAAAGUGUAAGUUAGCAUUUGGAUAAAUAUUGUGAAAUGUGUGCCUAAAAGAGUUCAAUAGUUUGAGGAUAAAAAAAAAAUAUGCCUGGUGAACUAUAUUGGAUCGAAUUAAUCCAUGAUUUUGCCCAUAAAAUCAAUUUAAUAAGAAACACUUCAGAUAUAUAUUUAAUAAAUAUAUAUCAUGUGCAAAUAUUAAACCUCAAACACAUCAGCUAGUAAAAUAGAGCUUACCAUGUGAAACACUUUUUAAAUGUAGUAGGUCCCCCACAAGUUUGGAGUUUUUUCCUAACACAUAUUUGGCAAUAUGUGAUAAAAUAUAUUAUAUAUUAUAUAUAUAUUCUAUAAAGAGAGAGAAGGCAUGUGAUGUGCAUGCUCAAAUUAAGAGGAGAGAAAUGUAUUUCAUUUUGUGACCACAUGAUUUUUUGAUAUCACCGACUAAAGACCUAAAUAAAAAAGUCCAAUAAUUUAGAGAAAGGGAAAACUUUUUUUUUUUUUUGUUCUUUGAUUAUAAGGUGAAUGACAUGUCGUCAAAUUUCAAUUGGUUGUAAUUUCUAUCUCAUAUACUCGCUAAGUUAUUAUAAUUAAAUUUUAUAAUCCAAUUUAGUUGAUUGGAUGCUGAUGUCCUACAUGCUGAUGUGUCGCUGACGUGAUAGUAAUGUGAUGUAACGGCUCAAUCCACUAGCAACAAUAAUUUGUUGGGGCCAAACACCGAUCCAAAAUGCUUAAGUCCAGUUACUAUUACUAGUGUCUAAGUCUUUUAUAUAUCCAAUCACAUUUCUAUUUAUAUCCGAUGUAGAAUUAUUGGGAUGUAACACACAUAGGAAUCAUUGCCACAACAUCAAUCACAAUACUGUUAUAUAACUGUUAUAUCUGCUGUAACACAAUCUUACUAAGUAGAUUUGAUUGUAAUAAUUUAGAAGAAAAAUGAAAUAGUGAUUGCGACAAAUUACAAUCUAAGGAUUGAGGAUCAAAAUUAUAAUUUAGCCUUUGGAGAAAGAGUGCGGCUAAGUAUGCAACCUUUUUGGAUUGUAGGCCAAGUUGUAAGAACUAGUCUCAUCAAAUAUUUUUUUUUUUUACACAAAUUAAAAAAAUUGGUAAAUCCUUUUGGCCUUUGGAUUUGGGAUUUUAAAAAUUACAACCCCCAAAGUUGUAGACUUAAAAGAGUUCAACAGUUUGAAAAAGGAAAAAUGUCCCGGGCCUAUACAUUAAUAAACUAUAUUGAAAUCUAAACUAGCUCUUAUAUAACACUAUUUGUUCUAAUUUCUAAGUUUAAAUUACAUAUUUAAUAUUUAAAAUUAAAAAUCACAUUUUAAAUUCAAAUUUAAAUAUCAAAAUCAAAAUAAAAAAUUUAAGUUUGAAAUCAAAAGUUAGAUUCAAUUUAAAAUUCAAUUUUAAAAUUUAGAUUUCAAUUCAAAUUCAAACUUUAAAUUCAAAUUCAAAAUUCUAAUUUCUAGUUAGUUUAAAUUUUAAAUUUAACUAUUAAUUACAAGUAGAAAUUCAAAAAUUUGAAUUUUUAUUUUUGGAGAAUAAAGUGAAAAAAGUGCAAAGUUUAGGGAUCAAAAAUGACUUGCAAAAAAAAUGCCAAGUAGGCCAUAGUUAGUUAAUUCGGAUUCGGUAAAAAUUCGGUACGGCUAUAAUUCGGAUAAAAUUUGUUUUUUAAUUUUUAAAUUCGUUGAAAAAUACGGCUAAAAAACGGGUUCAGUAAUUAUUCGGAUACGUGAUUUAUACGGAUAUUAUACGUUAACCAAUUAAAAAUUUGGAAUCAAAAAUUCGGCUAUAUAAUAAAUAAAAUUUAUAUAUUUAAAAAUAAUAAUAAAUAAUUACAAAUUUAUAAAUAAAAUAUUAUAUAAAUAUUUCUAUAUAAAAAUAAAAUAAAAUAUAUAAUACAUGAAUAUAUAUUUAAUAAAUAAAAUUAUAUAAUAUAUAUAUAUAUAUAUAAUAUAUAUAUUAUAUUAUAUAUAUAAAAUCUAUACUUACUUAAAAACGUGUUUUGAAAUUUUUCUUUCAAAAAUGUCUCUAUCUUUUUUACUAAUAUUGUCAUGAAUCCAGAAUUCCAAACUGAUUUAUAAUAAAUUUUAAUAAUAAUAUUAUCUUAAAUAUAAGAUCUAAGUUUCCCAUUAGAUCCUCAAUCCAACGAAUAAAAAUAAAGUAUCUGCAUAUUGUUGACAAAUAAACCCUUAAUCCUAUACUCCUAUCAACGUCGCUUUCUCAUAUAUUUUUUUUCUACCGGCACCAUACGCAAAACUAAAUCUAUACUCCAUAUCUAACCGUAAUACCCGCCAUCCAUGAAUACCCGCUAAUCACGUAAUACGUAACAAUUAAAUUUAUUUGCCUGCCAUUACAUGUAUAUUCAAAAUUAAAAUAUUAAUCUUGUCAUGCCUGCAUAAACUUUAAUACCGCUAUACCCUUAUCAUCCUAUCUAACGUCGCGUUUUCAUAGAUUUUUUUCCUCAUCAAUACCUUCGCUAAUCACAGUAAUACUAAAAUUAAAUUUAUUUCUGUCCAACGAUGUAGUGAUUCAAAAUAUAAAAUUUAAAUUCUGUAUAAUGCCCGCAUAAAUUUAAUUACCCCGAAUUGCAUAAUUGAAUUUAAUUUUUGAUAGAGGUUUUCUAAAUAAAAUUAGUAGAUUUAAUUUAACGAGUAUUAAAAUUUGGCGCGCCGAAUAAAGACGUUAAAUACUGUUAAAAAUAUUUUAAUAUCCACAAAUCAAAACGUAAAUCGUAAUAACAUUAAUUUUUAAAUAUUUUUAACAAAAUAUCAAUAUUAAAUAAUCAUCGUAAAACAUAAAUAUCUUUUUUAAAAAUUAUACCCGCACAAUCAAAACAAAAUUCGUAAUUAAAUAAAUUAUUAAAUCUUAUUUACCAAAAUAUUCAACAGGCCAAAAUAUUCUCCGUGUUUUCCAAAUAUAAAUAUAUAUUAUCUAUUUUAAAUAAAUAUUCAAAUAAUAAUUAUUCUCAAUAUAAGAUUAAGUUUUCGCCAUUGAUCUCAUCCACGAUAAAACAUAAAAUAUCGUGUAUUUUUGUCAAAAGUUUUCGCCAUGGACUAUCCAACGAUGAAAAUAAAGAAUAUCUGUUUAUUUUUGUUGACAAAAAAACCUUUUCAAAUUUUUUUCUAGCCAACAAUAUGUAAUACUAAAAACUAAAUUUAUCUCUUAUCUAACGUCCUAACCGCCAAAUCACGUAAUAUUCCCACUAAUUACGUAAUAUGUAAAAUUAAAUUUAUUCAUAUCAACAUUUUCCUCAAAAUAUUUUUUUUUCUCAAACGUAAUACCUACCAAUCUAGUACCAAUUAAAAAUUUUAAAUUGUAAUGCCCGCCCAAAAUUUAAUACGCCGCGACUUGAUAAUUUGAAUUUGAAUUUAAAAUAUUCUCCUUUUUAUCAUUUCACAUAAUAAAAUAUUAAGAACAUAAUUAUUUGGAAUGGAUUAUGAAGUAUGAGAUUGAAUAUAGAUCUGAUUUCUUAAGACAAGCAUAUCAACUAACAUCAAUUGGCAUGAACAACAUAGAUAUAACUAAAUUAUUGGAUGGAUUGAAGUCAAUGAAUGCGAAUUAGAUUCAUACUUUAGAAGAAGAUAGGCUCAUUAACACGAAGCAUUUGGAGAAGUACACUAUGUAAACAAUGUCAGUUGUUGUAUAAAACAUGAGUUGCACUUUAAUAUACGAUAAUUAGGAUAAUGUAUUUUUUAAUAUUUAUUAUUUUUGGUAUUUAAAUUUAUUUCAUCAGGAUCAUUUAGCAAAUUUAUAAGUAACAAUGUGUCUUCAAUCCACCAUUCCAAAAACUCAAAAAGAAAUAAAAUAAGCCUAAUCUUUUACUUAUAUGAAAUUCUUAUAAUUUUACAUUUUUUUAAUUUAUCUAUCGAGAUUUACUCAAUUAUUUUAUUGAUUUUUCUACUUACAAUGCAAUUUACGGAAGGGGAACUAAUGGAUGGACAUUUCAAUUAGUUAUUAGUGACGAAUUUUGUCAUUUUUUAUGCAUACCAUGUAGAUUUUGUGGUUCUUUCUUUUAUGAUAUUGUAAUUCUAUUUUUUUUCUAUAUUAUUAUUAUUAUCGAAUCUAUAAUAUUAUUUAAAAUUUUCUUUUUUUUAGUUAUUUGUGUCUUGACGUGACCCCCCCCCCCCGGAUAAUUAGAAAAUGUAUUUUUAAUAUUUAUUUUUUUGUGGUAUUUAAAUUAUUUAUCAGGAAUCAAUUAGCAAAAUUUAUACAGUAAAAUUGCUCUUAAUCCACCUAUUCAAAACUGCAAAGAAAUAAAAUUAAGCUAAAUUUUUUACUUAUAUGAAUCUUAUAAAUUUACAUUUUUUUAAUUUUAUCUAUUCUGAUGAUUUACUAAUAUUUAUUUUAUUAUUUUUCUUACUUACAAUGCAAUUUGUACGGAAGGGGAACUAAUGGUGACAUUUUCAAUUAGUUUAGUGACGAAUUUUGUAUUUUUUUUUAAUGAUACCAUGAUAGAUUUUGUGUUCUUUCUUUUAUGAUAUUGUAAUUCUAUUUUUUAUUUCUAUCAUUUUAUUUUAUCGAAUCUAUAAUAUUUAUUUAUAAAUUUUUUUUUUUAGUAUUUGUGUGACGUGCGUUGCACGUGCACUUAACUAGUAUAUAUAUAUAAUUAUAUUUGUAUUAUAAAUAUAUAAUACAAAUUAUUAAUUUUAAAUUUUUAACCCAACUUUUAAAAAAAAUUCAGCUAAUUUAUAAAAGAGGCCUAUGGGCCCAUUUAUAUUUAAAAUUUCUUAGUUUCACUCAUGGCCCAUAAGCACAUGAAAUAAAUUUCACUCUUUCUAUUGCUAUGUCCAGCUAACUCUUAACCCUAAUUAGCUUUUACCCAAUUUUUUUCACACUGCAGCGGCACACAGCAUUACAACAACACACAAGAGUCUCUCUCUUUCUCUCUCUCUCUGACUCGCACAUGGGCACAAGCACCACCACAGUUCCACAGCCGCCUCUCUCUUUCUCUAUCUCUCUCAGUCUCUCACAACCGUAGACUCUAUCUCUCUCAAUCUCUCAACCCUCGGCAGCAAACUUCGGCGGCAGCGAACUUCGGUAGCAUUAUAUAAUCGAGCUAACGAGACGAACAUGAAUCAGCUCAAUUAAGUUUCGAACCGAUCACGAGCCAGAGUUUUCAAGCUCUUCACGAGCUCGAGCCGAACACGAGUCGACCUUGAAGACGACGAGUCAAGCUCGAGCUGGCUCCAGCUCGCUCGAGUUCGACUUGUUUACAGCCCUAGCGUUAACAUAGCAAUUUCGUUAUUUUUAAUAUCUCUUUUAAUUGCUGGGACGUAAUCGCAAUAAAAUAAAAAAGUAAGAACUUGAUGGCAAAAUAUAUAUAUAUAUAUUAGAGACUAAACUAAAAAAUGGUGCAAAAGUUGGGACCAUUCUUAAUAAAAAAAUACAUGUGCGCCCCACAAAACCCCCAAAAUAAAGAUAAGGCUCCUUUGGGUUGAGGAUUCUUAAAUUCAAAAUUUUGAAUUUUGUUUUGAGGAACAAAAUGAAAAAAAUACGAAGUUUAGGGAUCAAAAAAUAAGAAGAAAGCUCCUUUGGGGCUGAGGAUUCAUGUAUUUGCACAGUGGCUUAUAGAAAAAUAUGAGACAAAGUAUGAUCUUUUCUUAAAGGGCAAAGGAGGUUCCAUUCAAAUUAUGUGAGUAGACAACAAGGAGAGAUAAGGAUGGCAUCAAAAUGAGUUAUUAUUGCUGACGAGUCGGAUUGUCACACCUACCACGCCUGACCCGUUUUACACCCCUACUAUGUUGGCCAACUCGGUCGGCCAUUUUAAAUCGAUACCAAAAGUUUAAGAAUUAUGUUAGAAAUUCACAUACGAAUAGUUUUAUAUAAAAUAAUAAUCAAGAGUUAACAAUCAAGAGUUAAGAGCCUUGAUAUAAACUAACUAGUCCAAAUCUAAAAUAGCUGAGGCAUUGUUGGGAUAUCGAAGUUAUUCAAAAAUAAUUUAUUUGGUAUGAGAGUUAAUUUGUUUUGUAAUUAAGAGUUAAGGAAUUUGAUAUGUGUUUCUUGAAGUAUUUAACUUUAUGAUUUGAUAGGAUAGGAUAUCAAACCUUGGAGGUGAUCUACUUGAUUUCAAUAAAUUUCUUAAAACUAAUUGUCCCUGGAGCAAGUGGCAAAGGGCUUGGUGAUUGGUACCCGAGGUCCCAAGUUCGAAGCGGGUAGCGUGCUAUCUAUCUCUCAAAAUAAAUAAAUAAAUAAAUAAAUUUCUUAAAGAAAAUAUAACGUCAAUACUACAAAUUUAAAUGCACUUCUCAUCUACCAAAUGCUACAAGUUUCUUAAAUAAAUUAGAAAAUAUAUACUAAACAAAAUGAUUACACGUCCAAACAAGGUCUUAAUUUUUUCAUACUAUUAAACAAGACUAAUUCACAAUAUGAAAAGGGAGUAGGCGGAGUUAUGCAACUCUAUAAGGGCCCGUUUGGUUCAAGUUAUGUAAUAUUACAAAGUAUCUCGACAUAUCCAGGUAUCUUGGAUUUCGGCAUGAGAUUACUACUGAUGCUGCAUUAGAGCGUUUGGUUUAAUACAGUAAUGUAAUACUAGAUUACAGUGUUUAUAGCAUUAAUAUGUUUGGUUCAGUUUAUAAAAUUUAGUAAUCCUGACAUAAAAGUAUAGUUUUUUUCUAAAAUUGCUCUUGUUGUUGUCAUUUGAAUAUUAUUUUUUACGGAAAUGACGAAUGGAGGGAAAGAGAUCGUGAUGAUUACUUGGGAGGAUGACGCAAUAGAAGACGAUAGGUAUUCGUGCGCGCGUGAGAGAGAGAGAGAGAGAGAGAGAGACGUUGAGAGAGAGAGAGCGAGAGAAAGCGGCGUGCGAGAGAGAGGGCCGGGGGGAAGGCAAGAGAGAGAUGAAAAUAAUACUGUUAAUUAGAUUUGGGGUUGUUGGAGGGUAAAAUUGUCAUUUUACAUAAUAUAUAGUAUUAACGGGUUUCAGUAAUGCAAGAUACACGACCCCCCUUCUGUUAAUAUUUUCGAUGUAAUCCUGUUCGAUUUGUAAUACUAUAUUAACGACUAGAUUACAUAGCGGAUUAACCAAACACAGUUAUCCUGGCAGAAUUGCCUGUAAUCCUGCCAGGAUAACUCGAACCAAACACACUCUAAGUGAAACCUCCACUUGAACAUUUUAAGGGAAAAAAAAAAGUUAUAAACUUAGCAGACAAAGCAUUUUCCUUUUAUUCUGGUCAAUAGCAGUGCUAGUAUGUUUGGAGCACUUAUAUAUGAGAGACAAUUCCUUAUAUGCUUCUGAAAAGUUGCCGACUUUUUUAUUUAUUUUUUUUAGAAAGCUAAUAUUAAAAAUAUUUUUUAAAUAUUUUAAGUUAUUUCAAAUAUAUUUUUAGAGUUAAAUUCUGUCAGUAAACUGUUAGCAACAACAGUUAUUUUCAUAAAAUUAUUAUUUCGUCCUUUCAAAUGUAUCUUAUUUGUUCUUAAAUUAGGGCCAAAAAAAAUAUUUUGACUUCUUGUAACUCAAGUAGAAAUUUAUUUCGGAUUUAAGCCAAAAUAACUUAACAAGUACUAACAGCAAAAGUAUUUUUGAAUAACAGAGAAAUAUACUAAAAAUAUAUUUAAAAUAAAAAAAUAAAGAUAUAUAAGAUAUUUCAGAAGUUUUCGGAGAUAUAUUAGAUAUCAUCCCUGUAUAAUACAUAUACCUAAAACUUUUAUUACACACCGGCCUCCUAUUCAUAUAAACUAAACUUUCUCAACUUUUGGAACUUCUCUUUGUGCUGUAGUUGUAACAAGAAAAUCAACUCAAUCCAACAAACAAGAAGCCAACAAUUGUAGCUCCCUCUAAUAAAUUUUAAGUAUUUGUACAUUUGUCACCAUCCUCGUAUAAAACUAAAGUCACAUCCACAUUUUUUUUUUGGAACCUAUCUAAAAUAUACCAAAGUUCGAUGACUAGAAACCCAAGCUUAGAAAACCACACAUGGAAUCGCCACAAAAUCCCUUGACAAUAAUUUUAUUCACAAACUUCCACCCAAAGUAUGACAAAAAUCAUCCCAUUUCUUACUGGGUAAAAUGCAUCGAUAUCCUUAUACUUUCCCCAUAUUGCAACUUAGUUUAUGCACUUUUCGUGCGAACAAUUUAGUUUAUGGAAGUUAUAAAGUAAUAAUUCACUUGUAUCUAAUAAUUUUAAGUGCUCGUCGGCACAAGCUGUAUUUGUCGUACUUUAUUGUGCCAAUAAAAUAUCGGCAUGAUACAGUCUCUGUACCGAUGGCACAGUUCAAAACUCUCUAUUCUUUAAAUUAAUAAGUAAUUUUCUUAAUAAAGUUCAAAAAAUUUGAUAAAAAUAUAUAAUAAACAGUUAGAAUAUUUUAUUGCUAAAAAAAAUAAAUAUUUCAUACUAUUAUAUAUUGGCACACAUGAUUUGUUUUCGACCAGUACGGAUUGGUACGGUCGGACACGCACCGUACCGCACCAUACCGAUAAGUUUCCGACACGAUUCCAUACCACGACACUUAAAUAUUUGCUUGUAUCAGCUUAUAUCAGAUCGUGAUUGCGUAGUUAAUAAUCAAGCUAAAUUAUAAUAUAUGUAACAUAAGUACGAAAAUGUCAUACGAGAAUAGUACAGGAACCAUUUGUACAUUUUACCCUUCCUUGUUUAUGUGUGUAUAUAUAUAUAUAUAUAUAUAUAUAUAUAUAUAUGUGUGUUAUUAUCUAGGCACUCCAUUGAACUCACCACACUACUAAGAAAACCAUGGCUAAAGCCUCUCUUCUCUCCACGCUCCUCUUCUUCCUCUAUCCAAUACUCUCAUAUUCGCAAACAUUACCAAUCAAUGUUUGGCCCAAGCCCACCAAUAUCUCGUGGCCCGUCCCAACGGCGGCGCCUCUCUCUCCUUCUUUUAAAAUUAUCUCUCCUUGCGCAGACCACUCUUAUCUCCAAUCCGCCGUUGAACGAUUCACCAGCCUUCUGUUCUCUGAACGUUACUAUCCAAUCGUAACCCCCGCCGUGAAUUUGACCACGUCCCGCCCUUUGCUUUCGCUGACCAUCUCCGUCGCCGACCUCUCCGUCCCUCUCCAACACGGCGCUGACGAGUCCUACGCGCUAUCAAUCACCUCGUCCACCGGCCUCGCGAAUCUAUCGGCGGCCACCGCAUGGGGCGCGAUGCGGGGGCUCGAGACCUUCUCCCAGCUGACAUGGGGCGCCGAUCCGCCGCUGGUCGCGACCGACGUGUACGUCGCGGACCGCCCGUUGUUCCCGCACCGCGGUUUGAUGCUCGACACCGCGAGGAAUUACUAUCCGGUCGCGGACAUAUUGCGGACCAUCGAGGCUAUGGGAGCUAACAAGUUGAAUGUGUUCCAUUGGCACCUCACGGAUGCGCAGUCGUUUCCGAUAGUUCUUCCAACGGAACCCGGGCUAGCGGAGAAGGGAUCGUACGGGACGGGGAUGCAGUACACGCCGGACGACGUGAAAACCGUCGUCGAGUUCGGGAUGAGCCGCGGCGUGAGGGUGAUGCCGGAGAUCGAUGCUCCAGGUAAUGCUUUAAUCCUAUGAAAAUUUGUUUUCCCAAGUUGGGACUGCUGUAGUAAUAGAUUAAGUUCUAAAAGAGUUAUUCGAAGAAGCACAAAAAUUUUUUUGAUCAAAUUGCUCUCAAUAGUUUAAGUUUCGAAUUAGAGUUUCUAAUUUCAAAAGUUAAAUAUUCAUUUGGAGUUCCCAUUGCAACAAAAGUGUAAAACUUUUAUUGCUAAAUAUUUAUUUAGCUACUAAAUUGUAGAGUGAAAUCUAGUGUGGAAAUUCAUCCAAACAAUUUCUCUCAUUAACCUGUCACAAAUUAGACGGCAAGGAAAAGGAAACGUGGAGUGCGGGUCAAAUAGACCACAAACUAUUUGGGGUAGAAAAAGGUCUAAGCAUCUUGCUUAGUGCGAACUUUAUUGAAUAUAAAAUACAAAAAUAGUUUGCUGAUAUAUUUGUAUCAACUUGUGUUGUUUUUACUCUAUAGUUAUGUGUAUAAAUAAAUCAAAAUUUUUUAUAUUGCAAUAAUUAAUCUGUACGGGUUGCAGCGCACACGGGAUCAUGGGCCGGCGCGCAUCCCGACAUCGUGACGUGCGCCAAUAUGUUCUGGGUGCCGAACGGCGCGGCAGACUGGCCCAACCGCUUGGCCGCCGAGCCGGGCACGGGCCAGCUGAACCCCCUGAAGUCGGAGACGUACGACGUCUUCCGCAACGUCGCCGCCGACGUCGCCUCCCUAUUCCCCGAGCAGCUCUACCACGCCGGCGCCGACGAGGUCACCCCCGGCUGCUGGAAAGCCGACAGCUCCAUCCAAGCCUUCUUAGCUGCUGGCGGCACUCUUAGCCAGCUCCUGGAACUCUUUGUCAGUUCCACUCACUCUUUUGUACUGUCCCUGAACCGCACAGUUGUGUAUUGGGAGGACGUUUUAUUAGACCCUGUGGUUAGGGUUAACCCUGCAUUAAUUUCCCCUAAGAAUACUAUUCUUCAAACUUGGAACAAUGGGCCCAAUAAUACUAAACUUAUUGUCUCCGCCGGGUAUCGCGCGAUCGUCUCGUCGUCCGACUUCUACUAUUUGGACUGCGGUCACGGCGAUUUCGUCGGGAAUAAUAGCAUUUACGAUUCGGUCGGCAGCGACAGCGACAGCGACGGCGGUUCGUGGUGCGGGCCGUUUAAGACGUGGCAGAGGAUCUAUGACUACGACAUCACUUACGGGCUCAGUGAGGAUGAGGCUAAGUUGGUGCUGGGCGGGGAGGUGGCGUUGUGGUCCGAGCAGGCCGACUCGACGGUGCUGGACGGCCGGAUUUGGCCGAGGGCGUCCGCGAUGGCGGAGGCGCUGUGGUCGGGGAAUCGGGACCCGGCCGGGAGGAAGAGGUACGCCGAGGCGACCGACCGACUGAACGAUUGGCGGCAUCGGAUGGUGGGGAGGGGGAUCAGGGCCGAGCCGAUUCAACCUUUGUGGUGCAGGACCCGUCCUGGAAUGUGCAACACAACUUAAAAGUGUGUGAUAUGUUUAAUUCUCCUGUGUGGUUCUUACGUAUUCAUUUGUGCUUGUUUCACAUGUAUGAUCGUUAUGUUAGUGUUGAUUUACUUUCUCUUUUGUUAUUAUAAACUAGUAAAGUACUACACUACUAAGUCUCUCUAUAGUCUUUAAAAUGUAUCAUUAUGGUCCUUAAAAGUUAUACAAAAAGAAAUCCAUAGGGCGGAUAAUUAAUGUUGCCCUUUUAUUCUUAAAAACGCAUAUGUAGUUGUUACAUGCAGCGACACGGGCAGUGUUUGAUUUAAUACAUUCGAAUUUAACUGCUACAGUUGAAACUGUAUAAAGAGACUCAACUACAGCACUUGAAGCUAUACUCAAAUUUAGUGCAAUUCCAACUGCAGCAGCAGCUAGAAAAAGUAACUUUCAACAAAUUAUAUCCUUUCCUCACCAAAUCAUCUUUUAAACCAGAAAAUAUAUUUCAUUUUGUUUUCGGGACAAUCUCACAAUCCCAAAUUUAAAGUGAUAAAAUUUGUAAAUACAAUUUUCAACAAUAGACAAUCAAAUAAAUACUUUUGGGAUAUACAAAUAAAAUUGUUCUUAUAAAAUGAGAUAACAUUCAAACCAUUUAAAUUUUUGUGAACUCUAGAAUGAAGGGGGUAAGAUCUACACUUUCUUUAUAAAUCCUGCAGGCACGAAGACAGGAAAGACUAGAAAGGAUCGUUCUAGACUCGUGUUGGACCGGACAGUCUUUUUUGCAUAUUAAAAAUCAGUCGCUUUUAGGCCUCCAGUAUGUCGAUUUCUGGCCCGGCCCAUUAUGUUUACCAAUUAUCUGUUUUUCUGGUCAAAUUUUUAUAUUUUUAUUACUUCAUUUUAUUUUAUUUGUAAAUUCUAAAAUUUAUAAAUUGUUAGCGGGGCCUUUGGAUAGAAGAAGAUUGUAGGAUUUCGGUGUCUUUUUUAUUUUUACUUUUAAGUUACAGACUUAGUAUUUCUUAUCUCCAGAAUCGCGCGUCCAUCUCUUUCUAUGAAUUUUUCUCUAUCUGAUGGAGAAUUUGUUGAUGCAUAAGUGCGCCCCCAUCUCUACUUUUCUUCUUCAUCUCCUUUUUGUGUUUUUGCUUUUUUAACACAUUUUAUAUAUUUUUAUAUUUUAGUCCACUCCAAUCCCAUCUAUAAACUCUAAUGAAUCCCCGUUUCCUUUUGUCCACGUGGCAACAUUAGCUUAAUCCAAUUUUUGGUGGACCCUACCUGUCGUUCUAAGAGACUGUUAAUUAGUGGGUGGGGCCCACCCAACCUAAAAAUUUGUUCUAUUCUGUUUCCCAUUUAAUUUUCCAUUUUCUAAUUAACUUCGUCUUUUCCACCACCGUCUCCUUCGCUCGCCCCUCUAGGUGCCGCUCCGACUCCCGUUCCCUCUCUGGACGGAAUAUUGGCGGAGUUCAUGGCCGUCCCUUCUUCUGGUCGCACCGUUCCCGUUAGCGACGCUUCGUUUCGGCUUAUGCAUCACCUCCGGUCGCUUCGUUUCGUUGGCACCCUAGAUGCCGCUCCGACAACCGUUCCCUCUCUGGAUGGAAUCUUGGCCGAGUUCAUGGCCGUCCCUUCUUCCGGUCGCGCCGUUCCCGUUAGCGACGCUGCGUUUCGGCUUAUGCAUCCCUUCCGGUCACGAAAAUGGUGCGGAUUUAUUCUCCAUGGUUCCUUCUUGCUGCCUAUAUAAUAUCCCUCUGUAAAAAAAAUAUUUGCGUUUCCUGGUGAUUUUUUUCUUAUCUGAUUUGGUAGUGAUCACUCUGCGGGCUUUGAUUUCACCUCCAGGGAAGUGGAUCGAGCGGAAGCUUCUUGAUUACAGUCAAGAGGCUCGAUUACUGUCAAGAGGCUGAGUGGUUCNUGAUUAAAUUGCUUUAAGUCAUCUCUGUAUAGAAAUUUGUGCACAGUUAGAAUGUGUUGCUUUUUUUUUCGCAAACUUAUGAGGCAUUCUUUUGAUUUUUUUUAAUCAUUAUAUGUAUUCAAAUCUUGAUGAAGAUAAAAUUUUGCUACAACAAUAUUUGCCCGCCGCAUCGCGCGGGUUACUACACUAGUUAUCAUUUAUUUGCCUACGGAAACCACAGCUCGUAUCUCGAUUCUCUAAACUCUCUGUAGAAUAUAUAACUUCACAAUUAUUAUAUGACAUGCGAUCUUUUUAUCGAAAGUCCCUCACAGUACUCGUAUUAAUUUACUUCAGUUGUACUAAAACAUAAAUCAACUUCAUUCAAGUCCAUAUUGCAAUUAAUAAUUUUUAUUUCUAUAUUACAAAAUAAAUAAUAAAUGUUAGAAUCCGUUAAGAUACUUGACAAUGCAUUAAUUCCGGUGCCAUAAAUGUUUCCUCAUAGGAACCCUUCGUGAAUACCCACACGAAUGUAAGCAAUUUAUCUUUCUUCUUUUAAAAUAUACAUACGUAGGUAAGGCCGGCAAAUGAGCGAGCCGGCUCGCAUUCGACUCAAUAUUUGGCUCGCUCGAGCUCGACUCGAAAUUAAAUGAGCCAAGCUUGAAUAAAAAAAAAUGCUCGAAAUUUAUUUCAGCACAACAUUUCACCUACAGAUAGAUGGUCAGUCAGAGCGAAUCAUUCAGACUCUGGAGGACAUGCUGAGAAUAUGUGUCCUGAACUUUAGAGAAGGGUGGUAUUGACAUUUGAGACUGAUUGAGUUUGCAGUACAACAACAGCUAUCAAAUAAGUAUUCAGAUGGUUCCGUUUGAGGCAUUGUAUAGAUGCAGGUGUCGAUCCCCUUUACAUUGAAGUGAUGUGAGCGAAAGGAAGACUCUGAGACCUGAGAUUCUGAUAGAGAUAGAGGAGAAGGUAAAGAUUGUACGACGACACAUUUUGACAGCCCAGAGUCGACAGAGGAGCUACGCCGAUAUCAAGAGAUGAUACUUAGAGUUUCAGGUUGGAGAUCAUAUGUUUUUGAAAGUCUCGCCGUCCCGAGGGAUACGCAGAUUCGGAGUUCGUGGAAAGCUCAGUCCACAAUUUGUAGGCCCUUUUGAGGUAUUGGAGCGAGUCGGACCAGUAGCCUACAGGAUUGCUCUACCCCCACGACUGGCCGACGUUCAUGAUAUUUUUUACGUCUCGGCAUUGAGAAGAUACGUGUUUGACCCCUCACACGUGAUCGACUUCACUCCUCUGGAGCUUAGCGAGAAUUUGAGAUCUAAGGAGCGACCGGUGCGGAUUCUUGCUCAUGAGAUGAAGGAAUUGCGCAAUCGUGUCAUCCCUUAUGUAAAAGUGCGGUGGAGUCAUCACGAGGAGCGUGAGGCGAUAUGGGAGCCAGAGACGGUGAUGCAGGAGGCCUACUCUUACUUGUUUGAGACUUAGGAUUGAGGUAUGCGUUAAAUUUCGAGGACGAAACUUUUUGUAGUGAGGGAGAAUAUAGUAUCCCUGAUUUUUGGGUUUUUAUGAAUUUCAGCAUCUGAGGCUUGUCGACACAUCUGGAGAGUGUCGGGACAAGUCGGAGUCGUUUUGGCGCGAAAUAGAUGCAAAACGGACUCAGUGCGACGCGAGAGUAGAGUUUAACAUUGGAAUCUACAAAGAGCAGGUUUUCAGUGUUGAGUCCCGAUACUAGGUAGGAGAGCACCGGUAUCCUAGUGUAUUUCCAAACAGACUGCUCUUGGGUUGCGCCAAUUUGGUGCUGAGUACCGGUACAGCAUCGAGCUGGUACCGGUACCUGGUGUACGAGUGUGCGUGCUGAGAGGCCGAGUGCCGGUAACCAAAUCUGGUACUGGUACUCCAACUGAAUUUUGAGUUGGUGAGGGGUACAUUGGACUUUUGGUUUGAUCAUUAUCACCAAAGUUACCUCAGCCAGUUAUAAUUGCAAAGAGAGCUGAGAGGAGAGUUUUUAUUGUUGUGGCUCUGUCUCUCUAGUUUUUGAACGUGCUCGUGGUGGUGAUCGCAGCUCGAGUUCGGGUGAUUUCGAUGUCGAUCCAGAGGGUCCUUCGAGCGUGCGUGCGUCACGGUUGCGCCGUUGGAGGUCGGGCGAGCCAGUGAUUUUCGCUUCUUUCAACUUCUCGCCAUGGUUGGAUAGGCUUUCGAGGUGGGUUGAAGUUUACCGAAAUCGUCGGUUUUCCUCCUAAGCCGGAAUUGACAACAUGUAUUUUUGGCUUCGUAUAUCAUGUUUAAUAGCUCGAAUUCGUCGAUUGCAUGUUCUUUGAAAUCUGAAUUUGGAGCAUAGUUAGUGAUGUAGAUGACUUAUACAUAUUGGACUUGGAUUUGACUUAGGAGAAAACGGUUAGAUUCUACACUAUCACUUUCUAAAAAUUACCAUAUUUAGCUUUAAGAGCUGUAGUUUGUUUAUAUCGCCGCAGUUUGUAAGCGGUGGAUACCCAGAAUAGUAUAGAAUGAAUUUACGCUUGUGCUGGAAUGCCUAGUUUAUUUUACAAUAGAGUGUGGACAGUUUUGGACUGGCGGGUGCCGUCGCAGUUGACGGUGGACCCAUAUUACUGUUUUUGCAUUGGAUUAUGCCAAGAGCACGUGAGUUUUGGUUGUAGGACCUGGUAGACCCAUUUGUUUUGGUUAUAGCCUGUGAGAGCCUGAUUGAGCUCGGUAGAGACACGCUUGCAUACUCGGUUGGGUAGCGCCCACGAGUGCCACUCCGGAGUCGAGCUUAGUUCUUUUGCGUUGAUAUCGUAGUGUCCUGGUGGGACUUACUCUCCACCAACAGCCCAGCGUGGUGGUGGUUGGUGUAGCUUCGACAGGCGAGACGAGUGUGUUCAUAGUCCCUAGUGAGAUUGGGUCAGAGAUUGCAUCUUGCUUACAUUUACAGAUAGCUAGUGUUGGUUAGCGAUAGUCUAGUGACAUAUAGCUGUAGAGUUUUACCAGCUUCCUUUACUAUCUCUUUUCAUACUUUCUGUAGAUUUAGUGGGUGAGCCGUUGAGGUGAGUAGCGGUACCUAUUGAGAACUACUUCUUUUUGCAGUAGUUCUCACACCCAGCUGUUGACCCUUUUUGCAGAGCCUUCUUCUGCGGCUGCUGCUGUCACCGAUUCUGAUCGAGGAAAGUGAGUCGAGAGCUAGAUCCCUUCCUUGGUUACAGUGCUAGAGGAGUACCUCCCACAGGUAAUUUUGGAGUUUUUAUGUACAUAUGGUUGUUGUCUGGGUACUCGCUUAAGCGAGUGGUGCAGUAGACAUUUUGUAUUUACUGGAACCCUCAAGGUUUUAUAUAUAUAUGUUUCUUUUAGCAGCUCUUUACCUUAUGGUUGUACCUUGGUUUUGUUUACAGGUACAACUGUCGUUUCGUAUACAGAGAAAAUUUCUAUGUAUACGGUGGGUCUGUUGGCGUGCUCGGGGAAACGUGUAAUUCGGGGCGUGACAUAUAUGUAUAGAUAAUGUUCUAUACAAAUUAAACUAUUGUUCGUAUGAUGUUGAGAAUUUCAAGUAGCUCGUUUAGGGCUUGAGCUCGCUCGACUCGAAAUUAGGACUCGCUCGAGCUUGCCUCAAAUUAAUUUCAAACCAAGCUUGAGCUUAAAUUUAGGCUCGAAAUUAAUUUCAAGCUGAAUUUGAGCCGAGGUAAGCUCGCUCGAGCCCGGCUUGUCUCCACCCCUACACGUAGGGCUACAAUAAUAUGUUAUUAGUAUUGAACCCGCAAUUCACCGCGGCCAGUUUUAACAUUAAUAUAUUGAGACUCGUAUUACACUUUCUGUUGGUGAUUGGCUUUUAAUACCAACUCUGACGCCCUACUUUCGACAGGGAUCAACCAUUCUAGAACUAUUAUGGUUCUAAACUCGCUCAAUCCUCAAUCUCUUUGGCUUAUCCACCACUCAAAAUAUUAUACCUAGAUUAAAAUGUUUAAUUCUAGAAUAUCUUAUAUAUAGGAUUGUUUCAAAACUUGAGAGUGUCACAAAAAAAAAAAUAAAGAACUAUUAUUAUAUGUUUUCCUCGAGGACUGUAAAAAAUAUAUCAUAACCGAUUUAUUUUAAUAUACGAAAUGCAAUACUAUAAAAAAAAAUAAAUAUUGUAUUUUUUUUUUAUCGUACUUUCUUACCGCACAUUACGAAAUCUUUCUGAAAUCUCAACCAGAGAAUUAGUUAGUUGUUUAAUAUGUAGACUUGGCAUUCCUCAAAAAUUAAACUUGAAAGAGCCAUUUCAAGCCGAAAUAAAAGGCGAUGGGAUCUUCGUACUUUUUCCACCCACAUUUUAUGAAAGGAUAAUAAUAAUAAUAAUAAUAAUAAAAUAGAUGGCUACAUCAGGAUCCACAAUUAAAAUCAGGAAAUCUCUUGAGUCUAAGUCCACGCCCCACUCUAGCUGCUACUACUUUCCAAACCCUACAUCCAGCUCACCUCCACCCAUGCAGCCGCGAAUCCGCCCCUUCGACGAGAAACUAUACCCUGCACCCAGUAUAUAUAUGCAUAUGCAUGCACUCUAUAUAUAUAUAGUCUAUACACUAUUAUUAUAUUUUUCAUAUUUGAUGAUUGGAAAAUACCAUUCCUAUACUUAUAUAUAGAUAUAAAUUUUAUAUCCUUCGCAUUCUAAAACUUAUAAAAGUUCUUUUAGAUUUAGUUAAAAAAAAAAGAAGAUAAACUUCAAAUACCACCCCUGUGAUUGCACUUUCUCACUUUAGUACUCUAUGAUUUAAAGUGUAUCAAUUUAGUACCAUGUGAUUUUAUUUUUCUUUUUUUUUUCAUCAGCUUCUCUAUUAAUACUUUAUUAAAUUAAAUAUAAAAAACUUCAGAUAUCCUAUCUUGGUUAAUCAAAUAUUCACUUUAGUAUCAUUUAAUUUUUAAACUUUGACACUGAUUAAAAAAAAAUUAGUAGAAUUGAUAAUAAUAAUAAUAAAAAAAAACCACAGGGCACUAAAUUGAUACACUUUAAACCACAAGAUACUAAAAUGAGAAAAUGCGAAACCACAUGAAUGAUAUUUGAAGUUUUUUCUAAAAAGAUUGAUAAGAGUAGAAAGAGAAGAUGGGUCUUUAGAUGGAUCGGGAAUAUAUUUUAUACCUACUUUAUUGUAAGUGCACAGAUAGUGUUGCUCUUGAUGAUAUAGUUCGAUAAAUUCAUAUACAAUAUCUAAACAGUUUAUGUGUAUAUAAUAUUAAAACUUAUUAAUUAGAUAUCCCGAACAUUGAUAAUUAAGAAAAAAUAUUAUUAUUAUU